RNAcentral lists this ribosomal RNA (722 nucleotides) under Actinomycetes bacterium. Its description in RNAcentral is "bacterial SSU rRNA". It matches the Rfam family "Bacterial small subunit ribosomal RNA", at positions 139 to 873 of the family's 1533-position model. The record is from RNAcentral. Lineage: Bacteria; Bacillati; Actinomycetota; Actinomycetes.
UGGGACAAGCCCUGGAAACGGGGUCUAAUACCGGAUACGACUACCGACCGCAUGGUUGGUGGUGGAAAGCUCCGGCGGUGCAGGAUGAGCCCGCGGCCUAUCAGCUUGUUGGUGGGGUGAUGGCCUACCAAGGCGACGACGGGUAGCCGGCCUGAGAGGGCGACCGGCCACACUGGGACUGAGACACGGCCCAGACUCCUACGGGAGGCAGCAGUGGGGAAUAUUGCACAAUGGGCGAAAGCCUGAUGCAGCGACGCCGCGUGAGGGAUGACGGCCUUCGGGUUGUAAACCUCUUUCAGCAGGGAAGAAGCGAAAGUGACGGUACCUGCAGAAGAAGCGCCGGCUAACUACGUGCCAGCAGCCGCGGUAAUACGUAGGGCGCAAGCGUUGUCCGGAAUUAUUGGGCGUAAAGAGCUCGUAGGCGGCUUGUCACGUCGGAUGUGAAAGCCCGGGGCUUAACCCCGGGUCUGCAUUCGAUACGGGCAGGCUAGAGUUCGGUAGGGGAGAUCGGAAUUCCUGGUGUAGCGGUGAAAUGCGCAGAUAUCAGGAGGAACACCGGUGGCGAAGGCGGAUCUCUGGGCCGAUACUGACGCUGAGGAGCGAAAGCGUGGGGAGCGAACAGGAUUAGAUACCCUGGUAGUCCACGCCGUAAACGUUGGGAACUAGGUGUGGGCGACAUUCCACGUCGUCCGUGCCGCAGCUAACGCAUUAAGUUCCCCGCC